This 272-nucleotide unclassified non-coding RNA is filed under the name Hevea brasiliensis (rubber tree). Lineage: Eukaryota; Viridiplantae; Streptophyta; Magnoliopsida; Malpighiales; Euphorbiaceae. The record is from RNAcentral.
AGAGAGAGAGAGAGAGAGAAGUUGUUCAGUAAAAAGGAAAAUAUAGAGAAAAUGGGAUAGGGCAGUGAAUAACAAGGGCUAAAAGGCCUAAUUAAUAUCGUAAAAGGGUCUUAUAAUAAGGAGGGAGUGGGGAACAAGAGGCCUGAAAGCCAUUCACGUGACUUCAUGUCACCCAAACAAAACAUGCUAAGACAAGACAAAUUAAAAGGAGGUGUAGAAUGCUGCGGAUACCAGAUAGGGUUUUGUCAUACUGGGGUCGAGUUGUAGCAUUC